RNAcentral lists this long non-coding RNA (585 nucleotides) under Phoenix dactylifera (date palm). RNAcentral's name for it is "long non-coding RNA (PDAC_LNC010298)". Lineage: Eukaryota; Viridiplantae; Streptophyta; Magnoliopsida; Arecales; Arecaceae. The record is from RNAcentral.
AGCGAUCCCACGUCCGUUACCUCCUCCGUGCGUAAUCCCGGCAGCCCUUGAUCCAGCGAUCCCGUGCUCCUCCUCGCAGUCACCGUGAUCCAGCCUCCUCCGCGUCCAAGCUCCAUGGAUCAUGCUGCAAUCAAGCAUCCGAGUCCACCUCUUCCUUAAUCAAGCAUCCUCCCCCUCUUCCAAGGGGUUGAUCUAUAAAGAGAAGAGACCAUCGGCAUGGAGGGGGAGCUUUUUGGGUUGGAAGGGAGUGCUCGGUUGGGUUUGAGGCCAAGAAACAGAGAGGAGGGUGGUGCUCGGUUUGGCCAAAGAAACAGGGGAGGAGGCGGACGAGGGAGAAAGAGAGAAUGCCUUGCUAAACAGAGCAUUGCAUCUUUUUUUUUAGUUUUCUGUUUGAGUUUAGUUUUUUAUUUAUGAGAGCAAUGUUUUUCUUUAGUUUGAGUUUAUGAGAGCAAUGUUAUUUUUUUUAGUUUUAUUUUAAUUGAAAGUUUUAAUUGAGAAGUUAUGUUUUGAGUUUCAGAGCAUGUUGUUCUUAUUUUUAGUUUUAUUUUAGGUUUUGUUUUGAGUUUUAAUUUUUGAGAGUUUAUU